Molecule: ribosomal RNA, 497 nt
Filed under: uncultured bacterium
Lineage: Bacteria
Description: bacterial SSU rRNA
Rfam family: Bacterial small subunit ribosomal RNA
Source: RNAcentral
AGAGUUUGAUCAUGGCUCAGGAUGAACGCUAGCGGGAGGCCUAACACAUGCAAGCCGAGCGGUAUUGUUCUUCGGAAAUGAGAGAGCGGCGUACGGGUGCGGAACACGUGUGUAACCUGCCUUUAUCUGGGGGAUAGCCUUUCGAAAGGAAGAUUAAUACUCCAUAAUAUAUUGAACGGCAUCGUUUAAUAUUGAAAGCUCCGGCGGAUAGAGAUGGGCACGCGCAAGAUUAGCUAGUUGGUGAGGUAACGGCUCACCAAGGCGAUGAUCUUUAGGGGCCUGAGAGGGUGAUCCCCCACACUGGUACUGAGACACGGACCAGACUCCUACGGGAGGCAGCAGUGAGGAAUAUUGGUCAAUGGGUGCAAGCCUGAACCAGCCAUCCCGCGUGAAGGACGACUGCCCUAUGGGUUGUAAACUUCUUUUGUAUAGGGAUAAACCUACCCUCGUGAGGGUAGCUGAAGGUACUAUACGAAUAAGCACCGGCUAACUCCGUG